This is a long non-coding RNA of Oncorhynchus tshawytscha (Chinook salmon), 769 nucleotides long. Lineage: Eukaryota; Metazoa; Chordata; Actinopteri; Salmoniformes; Salmonidae. The record is from Ensembl.
CAAAGUCCCAGACCCCAGGCAGGGCCGACCAUCCAUUUUACAGCCAGCAUGUUUGUUCUUCUUCACCUUGGUUCCUGUAAGAGUCAGACAUCUGAUGUACAGGUCAAAGGGAAAGGAAAUGGCAAUCCCAGCUGAGGACGAGGAUAUAACCUAUGAACAUUCUCUGGUGUGAGAGGGAAAGAAUGGAUCACUCAGUUAUUCCUCCCUUUCUGGGAGGUAGUUUUCUUUUCCAAAGACAACACUGAGAGGCUGGGAUGGAAAUGUAGGGUACACGUGCAUAAAUCCUGCAACAUCCCUUGUUGAUCUGAAAAGGAUUGCCUUCUUCUUGCCCAUGUUGUCAAGAAGGAAAUGGAACAAAGGCCUAUUUGUAAUGCUGAUGAGGAAAUGGAACAAAGGCCUAUUUGCAAUGCAGAGAGGCUUAUUAACCAGCCAAUCCCAAUCAGUCAAGUAUGAGUGUCCAUAUGGAGGAGAAUGUCAACACUGGUACACAUGGUGUCUAAUCAGAGAGCAGCUCCUGACCUAGGCAGUAAUCAUGACAAGUGGCCAUCCACUGGCCAUAAAGCACAACACAGCUGGUGUAAAAGUGUCCCCAGAGCACACAGCCAGCAGCAGGUGUGGCAGCCAGAGCUUAACAUCUUGCUGAUACAGUCAGUGAGUUAUUGCUUUAUUACUCUUCAUUUCCCCACUCUGUCCACUUCACUGAAACUGCAGCAGCAGACAAAGGAAACCACCUGUCUGAACAAUGAUAAGAGAAGAGGAGAACAAAUGC